GCAGUCGAGCGCCCCGCAAGGGGAGCGGCAGACGGGUGAGUAACGCGUGGGAAUCUACCCUUGACUACGGAAUAACGCAGGGAAACUUGUGCUAAUACCGUAUGUGUCCUUCGGGAGAAAGAUUUAUCGGUCAAGGAUGAGCCCGCGUUGGAUUAGCUAGUUGGUGGGGUAAAGGCCUACCAAGGCGACGAUCCAUAGCUGGUCUGAGAGGAUGAUCAGCCACAUUGGGACUGAGACACGGCCCAAACUCCUACGGGAGGCAGCAGUGGGGAAUAUUGGACAAUGGGCGCAAGCCUGAUCCAGCCAUGCCGCGUGAGUGAUGAAGGCCCUAGGGUCGUAAAGCUCUUUCACCGGAGAAGAUAAUGACGGUAUCCGGAGAAGAAGCCCCGGCUAACUUCGUGCCAGCAGCCGCGGUAAUACGAAGGGGGCUAGCGUUGUUCGGAAUUACUGGGCGUAAAGCGCACGUAGGCGGAUCGAUCAGUCAGGGGUGAAAUCCCAGGGCUCAACCCUGGAACUGCCUUUGAUACUGUCGAUCUGGAGUAUGGAAGAGGUGAGUGGAAUUCCGAGUGUAGAGGUGAAAUUCGUAGAUAUUCGGAGGAACACCAGUGGCGAAGGCGGCUCACUGGGCCAUUACUGACGCUGAGGUG
Molecule: ribosomal RNA, 647 nt
Filed under: uncultured bacterium
Lineage: Bacteria
Description: bacterial SSU rRNA
Rfam family: Bacterial small subunit ribosomal RNA
Source: RNAcentral